Molecule: ribosomal RNA, 433 nt
Filed under: uncultured bacterium
Lineage: Bacteria
Description: partial 16S ribosomal RNA
Rfam family: Bacterial small subunit ribosomal RNA
Source: RNAcentral
AACGAACGCUGGCGGCAUGCCUAACACAUGCAAGUCGAACGAGACCUUCGGGUCUAGUGGCGCACGUGUGCGUAACGCGUGGGAACCUGCCCUUAGGUUCGGAAUAACUCCCCGAAAGGGGUGCUAAUACCGGAUAAUGUCUUCGGACCAAAGAUUUAUCGCCGUUGGAUGGGCCCGCGUUGGAUUAGCUAGUUGGUAGUGUAAAAGCCUACCAAGGCGACGAUCCAUAGCUGGUCUGAGAGGAUGAUCAGCCACACUGGGACUGAGACACGGCCCAGACUCCUACGGGAGGCAGCAGUGGGGAAUAUUGGACAAUGGGCGAAAGCCUGAUCCAGCAAUGCCGCGUGAGUGAUGAAGGCCUUAGGGUUGUAAAGCUCUUUUACCCGGGAUGAUAAUGACAGUACCGGGAGAAUAAGCUCCGGCUAACUCCGUG